GACGAACGCUGGCGGCGUGCCUAAUACAUGCAAGUCGAGCGGUAAGGCCACUUCGGUGGUACACGAGCGGCGGACGGCAGAGUAACGCGUAGGAACGUACCCCAAACUGAGGGAUAACUCUGGGAAACCAGAGCUAAUACCGCAUGUGCUCCAAGGAGUAAAGCUUCGGCGGUUUGGGAACGGCCUGCGUAUGAUUAGCUUGUUGGUAAGGUAAUGGCUUACCAAGGCGACGAUCAUUAGCUGGUCUGAGAGGAUGAUCAGCCUGACUGGGACUGAGACACGGCCCAGACUCCUACGGGAGGCAGCAGUAGGGAAUUUUCCACAAUGGGCGAAAGCCUGAUGGAGCAACGCCGCGUGCAGGAUGAAGGCCUUCGGGUUGUAAACUGCUUUUCUAUGUGAAGAUUCAGACGGUAGCAUAGGAAUAAGGAUCGGCUAACUCCGUGCCAGCCGCCGCCGUAA
RNAcentral lists this ribosomal RNA (459 nucleotides) under uncultured bacterium. Its description in RNAcentral is "partial 16S ribosomal RNA". It matches the Rfam family "Bacterial small subunit ribosomal RNA", at positions 28 to 523 of the family's 1533-position model. The record is from RNAcentral.